This 510-nucleotide long non-coding RNA is filed under the name Marmota monax (woodchuck). The record is from RNAcentral. Lineage: Eukaryota; Metazoa; Chordata; Mammalia; Rodentia; Sciuridae.
UGCCUCAGCCUUCUGAGUAGCUGGUAUUACAGGUGUCCACCACUGCAUCCAGUCUGAAUUUCCUCUUAUCAAAGUUUAAGUCAUGUUUGGACCACAGAUAAUUCACUGAGGCCACCAGCAUCAGAAGUAGAUUUUCUUAAAGAAGGGAUCUUUAGCAGGGUGUGGUGGCACACAACUAUAAUCCCAGGAAUUUGGGAGGCUGAGGCAGGAGGAUUGCAAGUUUGAGGCCAGCCUCAGCAAUUUAGGGGAAACCCUGUCUCAAAACUAAAAACAAGAAGGUCUGGGGAUAUAACUCAGUGGUAGUGUGCCCUGGGUUCAACAGUAACAGAAAAGGAGGAUGGAUCUUUGAGCAGUGUGACCACUACUGUUACCAGAGCCCUAGGCUAGAGGGUUGACUCUGAGGAUCUACUAAGUUAAGUCUGGCCACUCACCCCAAAAAACAAACAGAAAAGGAAAUGAUGAGAAGCAUGAAAGGAACUUUAAUCAGUGUGACUAUUUGGGGAAGACAAG